AUUGAACGCUGGCGGCAUGCCUUACACAUGCAAGUCGAACGGCAGCACGGGAGCAAUCCUGGUGGCGAGUGGCGAACGGGUGAGUAAUGUAUCGGAACGUACCUUUCAGUGGGGGAUAACGUAGCGAAAGUUACGCUAAUACCGCAUAUUCUGUGAGCAGGAAAGCAGGGGAUCGCAAGACCUUGCGCUGAUUGAGCGGCCGAUGUCAGAUUAGCUAGUUGGUGAGGUAAAGGCUCACCAAGGCGACGAUCUGUAGCGGGUCUGAGAGGAUGAUCCGCCACACUGGAACUGAGACACGGUCCAGACUCCUACGGGAGGCAGCAGUGGGGAAUUUUGGACAAUGGGGGCAACCCUGAUCCAGCCAUGCCGCGUGAGUGAAGAAGG
This 384-nucleotide ribosomal RNA is filed under the name uncultured bacterium. RNAcentral describes it as "bacterial SSU rRNA". It matches the Rfam family "Bacterial small subunit ribosomal RNA", at positions 30 to 414 of the family's 1533-position model. The record is from RNAcentral.